Molecule: non-coding RNA, 297 nt
Organism: Vicia faba (fava bean)
Lineage: Eukaryota; Viridiplantae; Streptophyta; Magnoliopsida; Fabales; Fabaceae
Source: the annotation of a GenBank genome assembly
AUGCUUAAUUUGCAACAAAGGACCUGCUCUCCAUGCAGUGACAUUUGUGAGGCGGUUUCAAGUGUUUUGUCCGUGCCUGCACAGUGUCUGAGAAAGAACCGAUAUCUCGAGAGUUCACAGUUUGGUCCUUGUUGGCAAACACAUUUGGCCCUUACUGGUUACACUUCUGCUUCUAAAUCAUUAGUGAUGCCUCUCAGGACUCAUUGGUCUUUACCAAAUUGGUCCGACCUGUUGGUUGUCGAAUGUCGCCAAAGAAAACAAUGGAAGAAGAAUGGAAGCAAGAAUGAACAAGAAUGA